Molecule: long non-coding RNA, 2099 nt
Filed under: Trifolium pratense (red clover)
Lineage: Eukaryota; Viridiplantae; Streptophyta; Magnoliopsida; Fabales; Fabaceae
Description: long non-coding RNA (TPRA_LNC005204)
Source: RNAcentral
UCUAGAAUGUGAGAAAAUUAAAUUUCGAUUGCCACCAAAUUUGAAACAUUAUCAUAAAAAUGUAUGUCAUUCUUACAAAGUAUCAAGUAUGCCACUAUGACAUUAUAUAAUAAUAUCAAACUUAAAGUUGUCAAACACAAAAAUACAUAUGAUGAAUUUAACAAAAAUAUAUAACAAAAAGUAACUAAAGUUAAACUUCAUCACAUCAUUUUCAUUAGUAACCAUCUCGACAAGGAGAUACACCCAUCGACGACAGCUAUGAACGCAAACCCAACAUGGAGGAAGAUGAACGCAAACUUAGCAGCUAGAAGAUGAACACAGACCAGAGGCGAGAAAUCAAGUUCACUGUCCUCCAUUUGAAAAAGCUAAUCCUAUUUCAACUGCCUAAACCUGGACAAAAAUCACAAAAACAUUCUUAAUGCGAAUUCUAAAUUGGGAAUUCAAAAUAAAACAAGUACAAUACUGAUCACAAGUGAUGAAAUUGGAAUGUGUUGUUACAAUUGAUAGAAUUAAAAGUGAGACCUCAAUCAAUAGAAAAGAAAAAACAAAAUAAUUGAGGGAAACCCUAAAAAGAAGAGUAUACCACUACCGCUAUUAACAUGACAAUAAAAUAGAAACAAAACCUCAAGGCUCAAGCUACAUCACAUGCUUAGCUCUCUACCAUUUCAAGAACCUGAAGUAAAUUUAAAAGAAUAGACCAUUGAUUUAAGUAAACUUGAAGAAAAAACUUACAACUAGCAUUGACAUCAUAGAACCUGAAGUAAAUUUAAAAGAAUAGACCAUUAAGUUUAAACAUCAUAACAGAGGUUUCAGUAGCAAACUAAACACAAACAUAAACCUUACCACACACAUGAAACUACUACCACAACAUAAACCAAAACCCAAUAAUAAACCACUAACAGGGAGAAAGAAACAGAACUGCCCCAAAUACAACAAAACUAAAAAUUAAAACAACGGCAAAAAAGAUCUGAGGCAACACGCACACGCCAAUCACAACAGCAGCACAACCAAAACAUUGAGGGGGCCAACACCAAAAUAGAUCACACAUAACAUUCCUUGGUUUAGAUCAUAGAUUAAGUACCUACCUCGUAGCUAUUAUUUCUUGGUUUAGAUCAUAUCCAUGUUACAUCAGUGGUACUGCAAUUGUGAGAAUCGCAGGAACAAAGACAUCCUCUACAUCACCAAUUUUCCGCCUUUUUUUUCUUCUUUCUUUCCCUAAUCAGCACUUUAGCCACAUAUUUUUUGACCUUUUUCAAUUUUUAUAAAUGAUUUGUCCUGAAAAGUAAAACCAAUUAAUCCAUAUCAAGAAUUAUCAUAAAGUCAGAGAGAGAACAGUGUGUGACCUAAUUUGGCUGGUAUCAACAUUUUCAAUAUAAGCUUACACAGCAUAACUAUUAGACAUAACCAAGGCAAAAUAUGAAAGUAUAAAAUUAGAAGAAACAAAAAAAGCUGCAAUGAAAAGAGAGAAUUGAUUAAAUAUUUCCUAACAUAUUCAAAAGACACAAAAGUACAAAAUCCAUGAAAUAUAAUACAGUAUGUAAAAAACAAUACCAAAAAUUCCAAGUUCUACAAACGCAACAACACCGUAAAUGCAGCAAAUGCAGAAUUAUGACUUAAGCUGCUCAUUGAACAAACAAUUGUGACAUCGCGCAGCCAAUUAUAUUUUCUUCAAUUGCUUUUACAAUUGGUUCCUGCAAUAAUCAACACAAACUUCAAUAACCCAAAAUGAUAUACAUAAAGAUAAAGGUCCACUACAUGACAUUUAAAUUGAAACCAAAAUGAUAUAUAUGAAAAAUGGAUAUAGACCUAUAAUAAACUGCAAUUAUUCAUUGAAAUUAACUGCAAAAGGUAAUUUAAAUUGUUCACUGAAAAAAACUACUUACAAAACUAUCUUCAUGAAUACGCCAAAUAGUUUUGCCCAACAGAUUCACUACGGUAAGAAUAGUUACCCGAGGGAAAUAGUUGUUCUCUGCAAUGGGAAUGGUGUUGGUAAUUAUCAUCUCUUAUAAAAAUAUUAUUAGUAGCUCAAUGUGUAUUUUUCAAAUUCUUUUUACCUCGCACUUGUAGGCUUGCAGCUAACAAGCAUACCAANNNNNNNN